Oxyura jamaicensis (ruddy duck) is the source of this 237-nucleotide long non-coding RNA. RefSeq lists it as uncharacterized. The record is from RefSeq and is a predicted model, not a curated record. The transcript is spliced from 3 exons. NCBI's taxonomy places the organism in Eukaryota, Metazoa, Chordata, Aves, Anseriformes, Anatidae.
AUGUCACAGAAUCACAGAAUAGCUUGAGUAUUGGAAGGGACCUCUGGAGAUCAUCUAGUCCAACCCCCUGCCAAGCAGGAUCACCUAAAGCACGUUGUGCAGGAUGGCACCCAGGCAGGUUUUGAAUAUCUCCAGAGAAGGAGACUCCACAACCUCUCUGGGCAACCUGUUCCAGUGCUCUGUCACCCUCACAGUAAAGAAGUGCCCCCUCACACUCAGCCAGAAUUUCCCAUACUU